Rhopalosiphum padi (bird cherry-oat aphid) is the source of this 4477-nucleotide long non-coding RNA. RefSeq lists it as uncharacterized. The record is from RefSeq and is a predicted model, not a curated record. Lineage: Eukaryota; Metazoa; Arthropoda; Insecta; Hemiptera; Aphididae. The transcript has 3 exons.
UAUGAGAAAUCAUUCCAAAAAUUAAUCGACCUAUUCGACCUACUUGCCAAACGUGAAAAUGUGAAUAUGUUUUUGAGGAGGCUAUAUGUAAAUUAUACAUAUACGCGUAUGUACCAGCAAGAAUCUUCUCCCUAGUUAGAUAGUAUGCCACAAAAAAUAUUUUGCAUCCGAGUCGACCGAGUCGUCAUUGUUGGUCUUCAAUCAUCGUGGGCGAUGACAUCAUCGUUUCCUUCGCUGUGCGAUUAGUGCUUACAUCGGCCGGCAGGUCGCGUGUCGUGUACCGAAUAAAAAUAACCCACGCCGCGUCCGACAUUGGUCCUCGCGCGUAGUACCGUAGUCGUGCGUUCGUGCCAGUGGCCGCCGCACCUUUGUCGUGUGUUUAUGCCUGUGCGAUAUAAGUGAUAGUAAAGUGCAGUGCAUAGUAUCAUAAUAUAGUGUCGUAUAUUGUUAUAUUAUUCGAGAAACGGAAACCGUCUUCGCCGCCGUCGUUUCACUAAUUGAUGUCCUGCUUUGAAUAUUAUUAGUCAAAUUUGACCAUCGGCCAUGAAUUCGUGUUUUCCGCCAUUGGCCGCUCUAACGCUGAAAGAUAAACGCCGAAAUUCCGCUUAUUUGGAGACCACCGGAAAUCAAACCAGUGGAAAACCAAAUGUUAUACAAGACAUGGAAAUGUUUUAUAUAAAACAAAUUGCUCAUAAUCUUAAGAUACCAGAUGCCUUCCCUAUCGCGCAAGUCUGCCCGGGGUGGGUCUUGCUACGACGGAGAACAGGCAGUGAAUGUCAAUGCUGGUCGUUUCGCCGGGCCUUUUAUAUCCGGUGUUCUGUGACAGAUAACAAGAAACCGUAGAAACCCCAAUAGUGCAAUCGCCGAUAAACGCAUAAUUUAAAUAAAAGUUAUUAUAAGAAUAAAAUAAUUAUAAUAAUAAUAAUAAAAUUAGGAAUAAGAAUAAUAAAAAUGAUAAUAAUAAAAAGGAAAAGAAGAAUCUAGAACCUUAUCCGUGCAUCCCCCCCCACACCGAACGGAAAAAUCCCCUCUAUCGGACAAAAAAUUAAAAGUUAAAAUAUUAAACAAUUAUUUAUUAUGUACAAACUUUUCACAGGAUUUUAAGGACUUUUCCAGAGUUUUUUCCAACCCGUUCUUUUCGUAAGUUUGCGUCUUUUGAAAGCCGUGCGUAUAUACGAUUUUUUCGCCGUUUGCGUUCAUACAGCGGUUGCGAUCGCGGUAACGAGUACGACCGCCGACGACAGUCCCCCGGACGUUUUUCUUCGUUUUUUUUUUUGCACACAUAAGGUCGCGGACGCCGAUCGAUGUACGUGAUAAUGUGAUAUUUAUUCUAUUGUUAUUGCUUAAAUGUACACGUAUAUAAUAUACGUUUGAUUCGAAGCCCAUUUGUCGAUGUACAAUAUACUGUUUUUUGUUUUAUUCAAUAAAUUGCAUAUUUGCAUUAUAUAUUUAUAUUAUUUUUGUUGUUCUCCGUAGCUAAACUUUGACGUCAUACUUAUAUCUUCAACCACGGGUUGUGCUGUAUACCAUAAAACCGUUUCUCGACGACGUUUGUGUCGCAAAAUACGGGUGUAUUAUUGGUGUAUACUCGUACCUAUAUGUAAUAAUACAUGAUAAGUUUUUUGUAGGUGUAUUUAUGAGUUAUUAAUAACAUGUUAUACGUCUUUAUAAAUCGUAAUUUAAAUUAUAAUGUCAUUGGAUGAUGUGUAAUAAAUUAAUAAGUGUUUCUUUAUUUUAAAAUAUUUUUGUUUAAUACAUUUAAUGAUUUUUGGGGAUUAUGGGUGACUGAAGGUGAUGUGGGGGCUUUGCUCCGAAGUCCGCACAGUAAUGUGAUAUUGAAUUUUGUAUGGAAUGCUCGUUCAUCCAACUUCCACUGAGUCCCCCUUCUAGUUUUUUUCCAAAUCAAGCACUGAUAGCAACAAAUGUAUUAUUUUAUAAACGAAAUUAAUAUUGUCUAAAAAGUUUAAAAAAAAAUACGAGAUUUUAAAAUAUGGUAAUGUUAUUGAUAAUAAGUAUUAAUAAAUGUACUCAUUUAACAUAUAUUUUAUUUACAUAAAUAUUAGAUGAAUAUAAUAUGUAUAGUAUUUAUUUGUGUGAUGUUAAAAAUUAAAUCUUCCAAAUAUCCGAAUAAUAUUAAUUAUCUUGUGUGUAUUUCACGGGUUAAUUACUAAUGCUCCGUGACUGGGAUUGACCAUAUAACCUUAAUAUAACGACCUAACGUACAAGUAUCUAUACAAUUUACGUACAUAUAUAUUUGACGCGGUUACGGCGGUAUAGACUAUAGGUGCUCGGCGUGUCUGCGGUGAGCCGGUCAGGAAUCAGGAUAAAAGAACAACACGAAUUUCACUAUUCGUACGAUGUAUUAUUACUAUUGUUAUUAUUUUAUUGAUGAUUAACAACGAUACACAAUAUAGCUAGUUGUCAAAUGUCACCAUGACAGGUGUUGACGACAGCAUAAAAAAGAAUGUAGUAUGUAUGUUGUUGGUAAGACGAUUCGCGCAAGAAAGCGAGACGCAUAGCGGCCGGUACUCGUCCGGACCCAUUUGUCCUCCAGCCCUGCGCUGUGCCUUUUUGGCGUGCGGGAGAGUCGUCGGUGUCACGUCGUCGUUGCCCGUGGUGGCGGUUGGUAAGGCGCAGACCGGUCAUCGGUGCGGUGCCUGUACUUAGUACCGUCGACCGAUGCGUACCGCGUCAAAUCGUUAGUAAUUUACAAAAGCUCUACAAUGAAUCGUUACGUAUGCGAUCGACUGCUUGAUGGACACGAAACAUCUUAGAUAACGGUAUACACGCGAUCGCCCCUUCCCCAUUAUCGUCUCUGGCUUAAUUUUUUAACGUAAUUAUUUCGUAGUUAAUUAUUCGUAUUUCGUACGAAUCAUAGAUAUCAUAGAUAUUAUUAUGUUUGCCCUUUAAAAAUCGACCCCCCCUCACCCGUUAUUGUGGCCUAGUUCCGCCUCUGCGGCCAGACUCGUAUUUAGAGGGGGCACGGGUAGGCACAUGCCCAGGGGCGGCACGUCACGGUGAUCUAUAAAAACGAGAUGGAACUCUGAAGUUAACUUGGGAGAGUAAGGAGGGAGCAUCAAUAUAACCAUUAAUUAUAGCUUACUCAAAACCACUAUAGAUUUGCUGUCAUACGUCUAUACUAUACAUCAACCAAGGAAAUCAGUCCAAGCUUAUUAUAUAGAGACAGAAAGGUAAUCGUGCUUAACAUGCUCUAUUCUUAAAAUAUUGGCGGCACAUGAUAUAAGAAACCCCUCUGGACUUCCUCUGUAUGUGAGAGCAGUCAGUUUUCGUGAACGGAUCCCAAAGGACGGACGUACACACUAGCAACAAGGAUCUACCAGGGAACAAUACAGCGGCGUUUUAAGUGCGAGGAGGUCAGCUUAUGGAUUUCUUCGACGUUCGAAUAUUAUACUUACUAUAAUAUUAUUAAUUGUAAGGAUAAAUUAUAAUAUGCCCAGGGGCGCCGCGGUAUGGUUAGAGCGAGACUGUACUGCAUCGCGCACGUACAAAGGUAACGAAAAACGGUAUAAAAGUCGGCGGGCGGCGAUGUACCUAACAGCAUUACAGCUAUAUAGUGAUAUAAAAACAUUAAAAACGUACUAAAGCGUUUGACGUCGAAUAGAUUGCCACGGACCGGCGCAACAAUACGACACCCGCCUUUUACAAUCGCGCGAUCCGGCGGCGACGGCGACGCGGUGACUAAAUAUUAUAUAGCGAUACCCGGAGUGGACAACGAUGAGCACCACCGCCUUGACGGGCUUAACGACACCAUGUAUAUAGCGGUCGUGGGAAUCGUUACUAAUUUACGAGAGCUCGGCGGUUAAUCGUCACCUGCGUAACGACGCGGCCGACUACUGCUUGAUGUACACACGGAACGUCAUAUACAUAUAACCGCGUAUAGUUAGAGCGAGACUGUACUGCAUUGCACGUACAAAUAAGGUAACGACAAGCGGUGGAGCGCGUAUAGAGAAGUUGACGGGCGGCGACGGGACAACCGGCAAAGAAGCCGUACAUCGACGUUACGAAUAUUAAACACGUACCGAAACGUUUAUUAACAUCGCCGAGUGGGCUGCCGUGUAUGAAGUGGUGGCACACUCGGACGCACGUCAAUGCGUAAAAACGGGCCGAUGUACGACGUUUACGCGAAAUUCGUUUUCGACGAACGGCCCAACGCAAUCGGGGGGACGCAUAUUAUACAAAAAUAAUACGGCGACCGAUAAAGCGGCAGCCCGUCCAAAUCGCAAAUGGAAUUUUGCGAUCGUACAAAAAUAUUAUGUCGGUGUGUCGGAGACGUCUCAACGGGAUAUUGUAAUAAUAUAAAAAAAACAAAUAUCGUGCGAAUGAGAUUAUACGGAAACACACAAACAACGUUUUCGGCAUGUCUUUCGAGUCAACGACGGUACUGAACGAGGUCCAUUAUAAUAUAAUUAUAUAUUAUAUCCUGACUGUCAGGGGCGGAUUCAGACCAAGAUAACAG